AGGGGCGGGAAGGGACCCGGGGGCGGGGAAAGCCGCCCUAGUUUAAGGGGUUCCGGGCCGUCGCUCAGGCCUGGCAGAGCCCAGGCAGCCCGUCAGCACGCGCACAGCGGACUCUGCCGACGAAGCACAAUUGGGAGUGUUUCACAAAGGGCGGGAGAAAUGGGGGACAGCUAGUGCUCCCAGGUUUCCUCGUGGUCCGCGGGGAAAAGCCCGGCGUCCGGGUGCUGCGGGGGGACGAAGGGACGCUGGAAGAGCCAGAGGUGAACCCGAGUGGCCACAUCCCUUUAUCUAGGCAGCGCACUGGCCUCCGCGCCCUUUAUCGCGCCUGGCCGCUGGGCUCGCCCCUGGGCGGUCACGUUCAGUCCCAGCAGCGCGGUGCGCUUGUCCCGCUUGCGCCCUGAUCGUGCGUCUUCGUGCGCUGCGGGAGCCCAGAGCUGAGACUCUGCUGGUUUUCUUUUCUGCUGAGGAGCGCUGAAGUAAAAUGUCCUGUGGGUGAUUUAUAUCCUUGGUCGUGACCUCGAUCUGUACAGCGAAGCCUCGUGAGGGGACGGACAUUGUCGCGUGGGCAUCAUAUCCACAGCGACUAACCAGGGUAUACCUGGAGAGAUGAUGUCAUUGUUGAUGGUGCUUUAUGAUCUGGGUAUUGUGUAUGUGUGAAGCUGACUCAAGACUACCAAGCCCUCUUGUUUUGUUUCAUUUGCUGUCCUGGGGAUUGAGCCCAGGGCCUUGCACAUGUUAAACAUUGCUUCUAACACUAAACUACACCCCCAACCCCUUGUCAUCCUCAUUUUAACUUCUUGAUGAUGUAGUCAUCUAUGCCACUCGCAAAUAUCCAUGACAUUCGGUUUUUCCUGAUUGUCUAAAAUUGUAUUGUACUCCUUUUGUCCAUUCUCUUUCAAGAAAAGGUGCAGGGCCGGGAAUUUAGCUCAGUGGUUCUGGCACCUGCCUGAUAAGUGCAAGGUCCC
Molecule: long non-coding RNA, 965 nt
Filed under: Heterocephalus glaber (naked mole-rat)
Lineage: Eukaryota; Metazoa; Chordata; Mammalia; Rodentia; Bathyergidae
Description: lncRNA (ENSHGLG00100037129.1)
Source: RNAcentral